RNAcentral lists this long non-coding RNA (1085 nucleotides) under Lynx pardinus (Iberian lynx). The record is from RNAcentral. Lineage: Eukaryota; Metazoa; Chordata; Mammalia; Carnivora; Felidae.
UUUUCCAGACCUUGGAGAGUGUUCCAGGAACAGACAUUCCGCAGUGUGAUAACCUGCAAGGGAGGCCCUCCCAUUUACAUUUCAAACUCCAAGUCAGCUGUGUCAAAGUUUGAACCGGGACUGUGGAGGAUAAUGGGUCAAAUGCAAUUAGCAGCCCAGAGAGCUGCACGUUGCAGUCUGAUUUACUUAUUUAUUUAUUUUUUGCCCAUCAGAUUCCAAGAAUCCUGGUGCUUAAAAGCAACUCAACAAUCGCUCUAUUGUACUGAAAUAAAGCUCAGUUAAUUCAGAACUCAAUUGCACCACCAGGUGGGGCACACUCUGGCCCCAAACAGAUGGGGUUGAAAACUCCCCCAAAAUGCAGUCUUGUUAAACUAAAAACUUGAUCCAGGAGUGGAACAAAUAGGAAGCCAUGAAUGGAAUGGAGUCAGGGCCACUCAGACAAAUUCUUUCUUCUCCUACUCCUUUUCCUUGCUUUAAAAAGAAAAAUUCCCCAUGCCACUUUCAUCAGGGUUAGCCUCUACGCAGAGACGCAGCUAUCCACCCUUUGUGGUUCCGUGUGUUACUUUAAUUAGUCUGAAAAUUAAAGUGCGACUCUGGGCCGAUGGGAAUGAUUUUGAAAAUGCAUGUGCAUCCCAUGCAAUCCUCUCAUUUAAUUAAUAGCCUUAUAAACUAUAUGGCUCACUUUAAGGCGGUCUCGAGGUAUAACAAGUCUAUUUAAAUAUCCACUUAAUACUUAACGGGAUGUGAGGGACACACUAUAGCAUACGGUCCCUUCUCAAGUUUCACUGUCUGAAAUUUUUCAAAGCUGACCCAAGUCAACCCGAAAAAUGUUUAACACCCUGGGCUUGAACACAAGAAACUCUGUGAUGAACAGACAUUCAAUUACAUUUUUUAAAAGUGAGAAGCAUUUUUGUCAAAUAGCGACUCUGGAAACUAAUUGGCACCCUCGAAACUUGUGAGCGCAGGGCCAAAUCUUGUGGGGAACUUUUACUACAGUAACACGACUCAAAAGAGAAUGUGAAUAAAAGGCAUCUUUGUUUCCCAGUCAAAUUAGCUGAUUAAGAAAUAAAACAUCUUAACGUGUU